GCGGAAGUGCUGGAAUUGGCAGACAGGCCAGACUAAGGAUCUGGUGGUCAUUGCGAUCGUGUGGGUUCAAGUCCCAUCUUCCGCACGA
Molecule: transfer RNA, 88 nt
Filed under: Blautia sp. AF17-9LB
Lineage: Bacteria; Bacillati; Bacillota; Clostridia; Lachnospirales; Lachnospiraceae
Description: tRNA-Leu
Rfam family: tRNA
About the family: Transfer RNA (tRNA) molecules are approximately 80 nucleotides in length.
Source: RNAcentral